This 430-nucleotide ribosomal RNA is filed under the name Acidobacteriota bacterium. RNAcentral describes it as "Acidobacteria bacterium partial 16S ribosomal RNA". It matches the Rfam family "Bacterial small subunit ribosomal RNA", at positions 355 to 776 of the family's 1533-position model. The record is from RNAcentral. Lineage: Bacteria; Pseudomonadati; Acidobacteriota.
UGGGGAAUAUUGGACAAUGGGCGAAAGCCUGAUCCAGCCAUGCCGCGUGUGUGAAGAAGGCCUUUUGGUUGUAAAGCACUUUAAGCGAGGAGGAGGCUACUUGGAUUAAUACUCUAGGAUAGUGGACGUUACUCGCAGAAUAAGCACCGGCUAACUCUGUGCCAGCAGCCGCGGUAAUACAGAGGGUGCGAGCGUUAAUCGGAUUUACUUGGCGUAAAGCGUGCGUAGGCGGCUUCUUAAGUCGGAUGUGAAAUCCCUGAGCUUAACUUAGGAAUUGCAUUCGAUACUGGGAAGCUAGAGUAUGGGAGAGGAUGGUAGAAUUCCAGGUGUAGCGGUGAAAUGCGUAGAGAUCUGGAGGAAUACCGAUGGCGAAGGCAGCCAUCUGGCCUAAUACUGACGCUGAGGUACGAAAGCAUGGGGAGCAAACAGG